UUGGAGGGCAAGUCUGGUGCCAGCAGCCGCGGUAAUUCCAGCUCCAAUAGCGUAUAUUAAAGUUGCUGCAGUUAAAAAGCUCGUAGUCGAAUUUCGGGACCAAUAUGUCGGUCGUGCCUCGGUACGUACUGGCAUCGUUGGUUUCUCCCUUCUGAAGAACCAUGAUGUCAUUCAUUUGGUGUCGUGGGGAAUCAGGACUGUUACUUUGAAAAAAUUAGAGUGUUUAAAGCAAGCUAACGCUUGAAUACAUUAGCAUGGAAUAAUGAAAUAGGACGUUCGAUCCUAUUUUGUUGGCUUCUAGGAUUGACGUAAUGAUUAAUAGGGAUAGUUGGGGGCAUUAGUAUUCAAUUGUCAGAGGUGAAAUUCUUGGAUUUAUUGAAGACUAACUACUGCGAAAGCAUUUGCCAAGGAUGUUUUCAUUAAUCAAGAACGAAAGUUAGGGGAUCGAAGACGAUCAGAUACCGUCGUAGUCUUAACCAUAAACUAUGCCGACUAGGGAUCGGAUGAUGUUAAUUUUUUAAUGACUCAUUCGGCGCCUUACGGGAAACCAAAGUGUUUGGGUUC
Molecule: ribosomal RNA, 564 nt
Filed under: uncultured Glomeromycotina
Lineage: Eukaryota; Fungi; Glomeromycota
Description: SSU rRNA
Rfam family: Eukaryotic small subunit ribosomal RNA
Source: RNAcentral